RNAcentral lists this non-coding RNA (102 nucleotides) under Corynebacterium humireducens. RNAcentral's name for it is "TPP sequence". It matches the Rfam family "TPP riboswitch aptamer (THI element)". Rfam says of the family: Vitamin B(1) in its active form thiamin pyrophosphate (TPP) is an essential coenzyme that is synthesised by coupling of pyrimidine and thiazole moieties in bacteria. The previously detected thiamin-regulatory element, thi box was extended, resulting in a new, highly conserved RNA secondary structure, the THI element, which is widely distributed in eubacteria and also occurs in some archaea. Lineage: Bacteria; Bacillati; Actinomycetota; Actinomycetes; Mycobacteriales; Corynebacteriaceae. The record is from RNAcentral.
UCACGUGACACGGGGUGCUGCCCCUGAAGAGGGCAGCUGAGAACACACCCGUCGAACCUGAUCCAGUUAAUGCUGGCGAAGGGAAUGUCCACGAGGCGCUAC